This 1045-nucleotide long non-coding RNA is filed under the name Geospiza fortis (medium ground-finch). RNAcentral describes it as "lncRNA (ENSGFOG00000012936.1)". The record is from RNAcentral. Lineage: Eukaryota; Metazoa; Chordata; Aves; Passeriformes; Thraupidae.
UCCCUUCGUGAGCGCCGCGGCCGCCGGACUCUCGUUGUACCCCUGUACAUAGCCCCGCUCCACGGGCGCCCCGGAGCGACCCCCGUCUGUGCUUCCCCCGCCCCGGCCCCGGCCCCGCCGCGCUCGCGUAGGAUUCCCCGCCCCGUCCCGGUUUAACGCGCCGACACUUCGCUGGAGUCCCGGGCUCUUUUCCAUGAUGUUACUUUUGUCAUUUGUUCCUCCUGGGGGGCUGGUGGUCGGGCAGGUGAGUCCCCGUGGGGCAGGUGAGCCCUGUGGGCCAGGUGAGCCCUCUGCCUCCUCGGGGCAGGUGAGCCCUGUGUCACCAUGGCACAGGUGAGUCCCUGUGUCCCCGUGGGGCAGGUGAGUCCCUGUGGGGCAGGUGAGCCCCAUGUCCCCGUGGGGCUCUGGGGCAGCACAGAGCAGCUCUCACACGGGCAGUGCUGGCGGUUACAUCCCAACUCUGUAAGGUGGGAGAAGGGAGCGCAUUAAAGGUUGUCCCUCGGUGUGAGCUGCCCUCUGUGUGUGUGCCACCCUGGUGCUGGCCGGGCACGGGGGGCCCUGGCUGCUGCCCUGGUGCCCCCGAAGCUGGGAAGAUGGAAGCAUCCCCUCGCCUCUCCUCGCUGCAUCCGGCUCCUGUUGAUAUGCUGUAGAUCCGUGCCCUUGUGCCCACUCUGAGUACCAUGACGUAGAGUUAGAGAUGACGAGUGUUUUUAUUACAUCUACUGUAAUCCUGGCUAACCACCUGCUAGCAGGAUAUAGUAAUGUAGUGCUUAUUCUGUGAAUAGUACCUGGGUUUUUUACAUUGUACAGUCCCUGACACGGUUCCCCGGCAGUGGCAGGCAUGCUCCACUCACACAACACUUGCUGUAAGCAAUACCUCGUGGUAUGGGAAUUCUCUUUCAAGCCCUAAAACUAUUUCAACUUACAGCUUGUUUGGGAAAAAAAAAAGAUAUUUCCAUUUUUUUUGUAAAAAUAUAUGUUUCCUGAUUACCUCUUGCUAAUAAAUCUAUUCUAUCUCAGGGUGAACCGGGGUUUGUGAUAGUUU